UCCGGCUUUUCGCCGACAGUCUCUGUAGGGUGCUCAGCUUCACCUGGUAGCAACUACAGACAAGGGUUGCGCUCGUUGCGGGACUUAACCCAACAUCUCACGACACGAGCUGACGACAGCCAUGCAGCACCUCUGACCCAGUCCCCGAAGGGAAAGCCCUGUCUCCAGGACGGUCCGGGCCAGUUCAAACCCCGGUAAGGUUCUUCGCGUUGCGUCGAAUUAAACCACAUACUCCACCGCUUGUGCGGGCCCCCGUCAAUUCCUUUGAGUUUCAGCCUUGCGGCCGUACUCCCCAGGCGGACGACUUAACGAGUUAUCGCCGGCACGGAGGGACUUUGCUACCCCCCACACCAAGUCGUCAUCGUUUACAGCCAGGACUAC
Molecule: unclassified non-coding RNA, 381 nt
Filed under: uncultured Acidobacteriota bacterium
Lineage: Bacteria; Pseudomonadati; Acidobacteriota
Description: uncultured Acidobacteria bacterium contains 16S-23S intergenic spacer region
Source: RNAcentral